This 497-nucleotide ribosomal RNA is filed under the name uncultured bacterium. RNAcentral describes it as "partial 16S ribosomal RNA". It matches the Rfam family "Bacterial small subunit ribosomal RNA", at positions 28 to 507 of the family's 1533-position model. The record is from RNAcentral.
GAUGAACGCUGGCGGCGUGCCUAAUACAUGCAAGUCGAGCGAACGGACGAGAAGCUUGCUUCUCUGAUGUUAGCGGCGGACGGGUGAGUAACACGUGGAUAACCUACCUAUAAGACUGGGAUAACUUCGGGAAACCGGAGCUAAUACCGGAUAAUAUUUUGAACCGCAUGGUUCAAAAGUGAAAGGCGGUCUUGCUGUCACCUAUAGAUGGAUCCGCGCUGCAUUAGCUAGUUGGUAAGGUAACGGCUUACCAAGGCAACGAUGCAUAGCCGACCUGAGAGGGUGAUCGGCCACACUGGAACUGAGACACGGUCCAGACUCCUACGGGAGGCAGCAGUAGGGAAUCUUCCGCAAUGGGCGAAAGCCUGACGGAGCAACGCCGCGUGAGUGAUGAAGGUCUUCGGAUCGUAAAACUCUGUUAUUAGGGAAGAACAUAUGUGUAAGUAACUGUGCACAUCUUGACGGUACCUAAUCAGAAAGCCACGGCUAACUACGUG